RNAcentral lists this long non-coding RNA (366 nucleotides) under Homo sapiens (human). RNAcentral's name for it is "HSALNT0059463". Lineage: Eukaryota; Metazoa; Chordata; Mammalia; Primates; Hominidae. The record is from RNAcentral.
UUGAAAACCAAAAACGUCCUUGAAGAAAACACCAGAAAUCAGUGCUUUAGAUCACACUGAGUUGUUUGCUAUUGGUCACCCACUUGGAAUGUUCUGGGAACGCUAACUACUUUGGAUUGGAUAUAUUCAGAAAAGAAACAAAUCUUUGUCUGAUCAGAUGUAUUUGGAGAAAACAAAAAACCCACAACCCAAAGGAUGGGAUUUCACAUCUCAAGACAUCUCCCAGUUUAUCCAUCUUUGCCAUGUGCUUGGGGAAGAAUGGCAAUGCGAAAGUGUGAGCUUCCCGUCCCAGCUUAUUAGAAGCCCACAGCUGUUUUUAAAAAAUCUACCUUUCCGGCUGGGUGCAGUGGCUCACACCUGUAAUCC